AGUGAACGCUGGCGGUAGGCCUAACACAUGCAAGUCGAACGGCAGCACAGUAAGAGCUUGCUCUUACGGGUGGCGAGUGGCGGACGAGUGAGGAAUACAUCGGAAUCUACUUUUUCGUGGGGGAUAACGUAGGGAAACUUACGCUAAUACCGCAUACGACCUACGGGUGAAAGCAGGGGAUCUUUGGACCUUGCGCGAUUGAAUGAGCCGAUGUCGGAUUAGCUAGUUGGCGGGGUAAAGGCCCACCAAGGCGACGAUCCGUAGCUGGUCUGAGAGGAUGAUCAGCCACACUGGAACUGAGACACGGUCCAGACUCCUACGGGAGGCAGCAGUGGGGAAUAUUGGACAAUGGGCGCAAGCCUGAUCCAGCCAUACCGCGUGGGUGAAGAAGGCCUUCGGGUUGUAAAGCCCUUUUGUUGGGAAAGAAAAGCAGCAGGUUAAUACCCCGCUGUUCUGACGGUACCCAAAGAAUAAGCACCGGCUAACUUCGU
Molecule: ribosomal RNA, 491 nt
Filed under: uncultured bacterium
Lineage: Bacteria
Description: partial 16S ribosomal RNA
Rfam family: Bacterial small subunit ribosomal RNA
Source: RNAcentral